AUGUCCACAGUGCGACGGCGGCCGGUCUCCGCCCCUGCGGCCGCGACGGGCGCCCGGUUGCGGAUCUGGUAGCAGAAGAAGAAGAGGACGGAGAAGAGCGCGGUGCCCGUGAGGCCGACGCAGGUGUAGCUGAAGAUCACCGUCGCUUUGUUGGUGUGCCGCUGGUGCUCUGAGUUUGGCAAGCCCGUCGGACCGAACGAAGCCAUGGAGCUCGCAAGACUUUCGCCGGUUCGUACUUCCAAUCCAAGGUAAAGGAAUGAGAGCCGACGCCGAUCACAGCGAGGGCCUUGCGGAUUUGCGGUAGAUAUGGACAGUGUUGG
RNAcentral lists this long non-coding RNA (320 nucleotides) under Hordeum vulgare. RNAcentral's name for it is "long non-coding RNA (HVUL_LNC021336)". Lineage: Eukaryota; Viridiplantae; Streptophyta; Magnoliopsida; Poales; Poaceae. The record is from RNAcentral.